RNAcentral lists this long non-coding RNA (564 nucleotides) under Sus scrofa (pig). Its description in RNAcentral is "lncRNA (ENSSSCG00060061618.1)". Lineage: Eukaryota; Metazoa; Chordata; Mammalia; Artiodactyla; Suidae. The record is from RNAcentral.
ACAUCAGCCCCGCAGGUCUUCUUCGUCUUGGGAGACACAGCCCCAAAGGAACGAGGCCUGGUGGAGCCAAGAAGCAUCUCGGGAAGGUCCCAGGGAGAGUGGUGGAGGCAGAACUUGGAGGUGUGGCUUGGUCUUGCACCCAGAGUUGACAGUGGCCUGCUCCCCAGCUUGUCAAGCUUGUGUCUCAGCAGCCAGGGGACUUAGCAGUGUGAGGUGUGCUCCCUUUGAAGAAGGUUUUGCCGAGGGCUUGGGAUUCGUAAUCCAAUCCAUCUUCUCUCUACAGGGAUGCUGGUCCGUGAUAAUGGUUUCAAAAGAUGAAAAAUCUGCAAGAGCAGACCUUGCACUUUGCAGUUGGUGUGGACAAAGUAUGUAGCCACCAAAAUGGCAUGGAAUUAAGAGUAAAUAAAGAAAAUCAGUGAAAAGAGAAGAGAAAAAACAAAAGAAAUGAACUAUUUGGAGGUAAGCAGGCAUUAAAAGGCUGUAUUUAAGCUUUCUUUUCUUUUCUUUUCUUUCUUUCUUUAUUUUUUUGCUUGCUUUUUCCUGAAAUUUUUACGUCAAUAAGAU